UACGUAGGUGGCAAGCGUUGCCCGGAAUUACUGGGCGUAAAGGGCGCGUAGGCGGCCAUCUAAGUCAGACGUGAAAUCCCCCGGCUUAACCUGGGAACUGCGUCUGAUACUGGACGGCUUGAGUAUGGGAGAGGGAUGUAGAAUUCCAGGUGUAGAGGUGAAAUUCGUAGAUAUUCGCAAGAACACCAGUGGCGAAGGCGGCUCACUGGCCCGGUACUGACGCUGAGGUGCGAAAGCGUGGGGAGCAAACAGG
This 253-nucleotide ribosomal RNA is filed under the name uncultured bacterium. RNAcentral describes it as "partial 16S ribosomal RNA". It matches the Rfam family "Bacterial small subunit ribosomal RNA", at positions 524 to 776 of the family's 1533-position model. The record is from RNAcentral.